AAGUCGUAACAAGGUUUCCGUAGGUGAACCUGCGGAAGGAUCAUUAUUGAAACUUCUUUGGAAGUAGUACUGUUGCUGGCCUUGUAAUGAGGUAUGUGCACGUACUAUUUCUAAUCUAUUCAUCCACCUGUGCACUUAUUGUAGGAGUUUUUUGAGGUUAGCUUGUUGUAGGCUUACGGCUUAUGCGGGUUGACUUUAAAAAGGCUUCUAUGUCUUACAAACCUAUUGAAGUAUGUUUUAGAAUGUCUUUUAUUGGGACUUUAUUGGCCCUUUAAACUUGUACAACUUUUAGCAACGGAUCUCUUGGCUCUC
RNAcentral lists this unclassified non-coding RNA (312 nucleotides) under air metagenome. RNAcentral's name for it is "partial contains small subunit ribosomal RNA, internal transcribed spacer 1, and 5.8S ribosomal RNA". The stretch from base 1 to 46 matches the Rfam family "Eukaryotic small subunit ribosomal RNA", at positions 1786 to 1831 of the family's 1831-position model. The record is from RNAcentral.